This 551-nucleotide ribosomal RNA is filed under the name uncultured bacterium. RNAcentral's name for it is "bacterial SSU rRNA". It matches the Rfam family "Bacterial small subunit ribosomal RNA", at positions 335 to 902 of the family's 1533-position model. The record is from RNAcentral.
ACUCCUACGGGAGGCUGCAGUGGGGAAUAUUGCACAAUGGGCGAAAGCCUGAUGCAGCAACGCCGCGUGAGUGAUGAAGGCCUUCGGGUUGUAAAGCUCUGUCUUUGGGGACGAUAAUGACGGUACCCAAGGAGGAAGCCACGGCUAACUACGUGCCAGCAGCCGCGGUAAUACGUAGGUGGCAAGCGUUGUCCGGAUUUACUGGGCGUAAAGGAUGCGUAGGUGGAUAUGCAAGUCAGAUGUGAAAUACCCGGGCUUAACUCGGGUGCUGCAUUUGAAACUAUAUAUCUAGAGUGCAGGAGAGGUAAGUGGAAUUCCUAGUGUAGCGGUGAAAUGCGUAGAGAUUAGGAAGAACACCAGUGGCGAAGGCGACUUACUGGACUGUAACUGACACUGAGGCAUGAAAGCGUGGGGAGCAAACAGGAUUAGAUACCCUGGUAGUCCACGCCGUAAACGAUGGGUACUAGGUGUAGGGGGUAUCGACUCCCUCUGUGCCGCAGUUAACACAAUAAGUACCCCGCCUGGGGAGUACGGUCGCAAGAUUAAAACUC